AGUUAAAUCAUGUUGGUUUUGAGACAAGGAGACAGAACUGUUAAUAGGUGUGUCUAAGGGCUCAGUGCAAUUCCUUCAGCACAGGACCUACACACCUGAAAGCCAUAAUGAAGCCAGAGCAGUUAGAUUGAAUAAAAGGAGAUGGCCAGGAACUGAGUGGGUUUUUCUCCCACUACAAUUUCUUGACUUUGUGCUCUAGCAGUAAGGAAGUUACUGGGAAUUUGCCUUGAGUUCACCAGAGGAGACCUCAGAUUUGUCUGUUGCUUUUCAAAGUGGGUGAUAAGUAUGGAGGACAUGGGUGAAGCUUCCUGAGCUCAGAGCCUGAAGUAACCUUGUGGCUGCUGCUUCCUUGACAGCUAAGACACCUAUCUGUGGUGGGACAGUUCGCUGAUGCUGGAAUGCUGCCUACCAGGUUUGCUCCCCUAGCUGGCUGUGUUUGCUUUCACCCAGAUACAAAAUUGCUUGGUUUUGCUUGUUUUUCAUCUGCUCAGACUGGCAGCUCUGACUAAUGUGGACUGAGCUCUGGGGCUUGUUGGGCUAUGUGAUAUUCUGACCUUUCUUGUGGCACUUGUGAUUUUAUUCUCUUUCCCCUGGUUAGUGGAUGAAGAAUAUUAUGCUUAUUAACUACAGCAGUUAAUGACAAUCAAAAAGCACCUGAGAGCAAAACACUCAUUUGGAAGCAAACAGGAAAUGUGGGCAAAGACAGUUUGCCUUUCCUCAUCUUCAGUUACCACAGAAAAGCUGCAGUGCCUUCAUCUCCCCCAACGCAGCAUUUCAGGUUUAUGUCAAUAUUUUCAUGCUUUUGUAAAGAACUGC
This is a long non-coding RNA of Pezoporus flaviventris, 816 nucleotides long. RefSeq lists it as uncharacterized. The transcript has 3 exons. NCBI's taxonomy places the organism in Eukaryota, Metazoa, Chordata, Aves, Psittaciformes, Psittacidae. The record is from RefSeq and is a predicted model, not a curated record.